GACGAACGCUGGCGGCGUGCCUAACACAUGCAAGUCGAGCGGGGACAUUUAACAGAACGGAAGUUUUCGGACGGAAGGGAAGAUAAGUGUUCUAGCGGCGGACGGGUGAGUAAUGCGUGAGCAACCUGUCCUUCACAGGGGGAUAACACCGCGAAAGUUGUACUAAUACCGCAUAAGACCACGGUACCGCAUGGUGCAGGGGUCAAAGGAGGAAUCCGGUGAAGGGUGGGCUCGCGUCCGAUUAGAUAGUUGGUGAGGCAACGGCCCACCAAGUCGAAGAUCGGUAGCCGACCUGAGAGGGUGAUCGGCCACAUUGGGACUGAGACACGGCCCAA
Molecule: ribosomal RNA, 335 nt
Filed under: uncultured bacterium
Lineage: Bacteria
Description: bacterial SSU rRNA
Rfam family: Bacterial small subunit ribosomal RNA
Source: RNAcentral